RNAcentral lists this ribosomal RNA (450 nucleotides) under uncultured bacterium. RNAcentral describes it as "partial 16S ribosomal RNA". It matches the Rfam family "Bacterial small subunit ribosomal RNA", at positions 354 to 796 of the family's 1533-position model. The record is from RNAcentral.
GUGGGGAAUAUUGGACAAUGGGCGAAAGCCUGAUCCAGCCAUGCCGCGUGUGUGAAGAAGGUCUUCGGAUUGUAAAGCACUUUAAGUUGGGAGGAAGGGCAGUAAGUUAAUACCUUGCUGUUUUGACGUUACCGACAGAAUAAGCACCGGCUAACUUCGUGCCAGCAGCCGCGGUAAUACGAAGGGUGCAAGCGUUAAUCGGAAUUACUGGGCGUAAAGCGCGCGUAGGUGGUUUUGUAAGUUGGAGGUGAAAUCCCCGGGAUCAAACUGGGAACUGCCUCAAAAACUGCAUGACUAGAGUACGGUAGAGGGUAGUGGAAUUUCCUGUGUAGCGGUGAAAUGCGUAGAUAUAGGAAGGAACACAAGUGGCGAAGGCGACUACCUGGACUGAUACUGACACUGAGGUGCGAAAGCGUGGGGAGCAAACAGGAUUAGAUACCCCUGUAGUCC